Molecule: ribosomal RNA, 791 nt
Filed under: uncultured archaeon
Lineage: Archaea
Also listed under: 1 other name
Description: bacterial SSU rRNA
Rfam family: Archaeal small subunit ribosomal RNA
Source: RNAcentral
ACUGCUCAGUAACACGUGGAUAACCUGCCCAAGGGUCUGGGAUAACCCCGGGAAACUGGGGAUAAUACCGGAUGGAUCACUAGUGCUGGAAUGCUUGGUGGUCGAAAGGCAACGCCUUUGGAUGGGUCUGCGGCGGAUUAGGUUGACGCCGGUGUAACGUACCGGCGUGCCUGUAAUCCGUACGGGUUGUGGGAGCAAGAGCCCGGAGAUGGAUUCUGAGACACGAAUCCAGGCCCUACGGGGCGCAGCAGGCGCGAAAACUCUACAAUGCAGGCAACUGCGAUAGGGGGACAUCGAGUGGCAUCCACCUUGGGUGCCUGUCCAACCGUCUAAAAAACGGUUGUUAGCAAGGGCCGGGUAAGACCGGUGCCAGCCGCCGCGGUAAUACCGGCGGCUCGAGUGGUGGCCGAUAUUAUUGAGUCUAAAGGGUCCGUAGCCGGCUUUGCAAGUCCCCUGGGAAAUCCAGCGGCUUAACCGUUGGGCUUUCAUGGGAUACUACAUUGCUUGGGACUGGGAGAGGUAGGAGGUACUCGGGGGGUAGGGGUGAAAUCCUGUAAUCCUCCGGGGACCACCGGUGGCGAAGGCGUCCUACCAGAACAGGUCCGACGGUGAGGGACGAAAGCUAGGGGCACGAACCGGAUUAGAUACCCGGGUAGUCCUAGCCGUAAACGAUGCCCGCUAGGUGUCACGACGGUCGUGAAUCGUCGUGGUGCCGUAGGGAAGCCGCGAAGCGGGCCACUUGGGAAGUACGGCCGCAAGGCUGAAACUUAAAGGAAUUGGCGGGGGAGCAC